Molecule: long non-coding RNA, 178 nt
Filed under: Sus scrofa (pig)
Lineage: Eukaryota; Metazoa; Chordata; Mammalia; Artiodactyla; Suidae
Description: lncRNA (ENSSSCG00070002465.1)
Source: RNAcentral
AAAUAAAGAACUUUCUUUAUCUGAAUCAUCACUCUCUUUCUUUUUGGAUUGCAGCCACAGAUUUAUAAACAUGGAGCAGAGAAAAUCAGAGGGCAGUGCCUGGGAUAGAGUAGGAAGAAACUCAAUAAUUACAGAUGCUUUUAGGUUAAUACGAGAAGACUGUAUUGACAGACUGUAA